CACCCCCAUUUUAAUCGUUCUCUCCUCUCGACCUCCCCCGCCCCUGCUUCCCCGUCGUCAAUCGCUCUCUCCUCAGUUCCUCUACCCCUCUCUAUACAUUAUUUAGCCGAUUUACCUUCUUACCUUAAUUUCGUCCACAAAACGGGUGAAACCCGUUCGUUUGAAUCCAAUUCGUUUCCAAGAAAGGGGAUGGUCUCGUCAAUCCCUCGUCAGUCUCUCUCUCUCUCUCUCUCUCUAGAGAGCAUCGUGGGGAGAGAUUUUCUCCCGAGGGGGUCUGGGAUUGUGAUGAGGAGGUCGUUGGUGCUUCAGCUACACAAGACGGAGGGUCAGGGAGGGGAUUAUGCGGAGUGUCUGCACUCGCCAAGGAGGAAAUUCACUGAUUUUGGGUUUAAAGAUAUAACCUCCGAAUUGUCAAUGGCGGCUGAGGCUGAACUCUCCAAACACAAAGGAGUCUGAGAUGUCUAUAUCUGGUUUAACGUUUAAUUCCCAAAAGAUAUCCUGCUACGCGGCACGAGCAAGAGGUUCUAAUUUCUCUGUUGGGUCUUCGUCCUUGAUUUCUAAUGGGUUCAUUAAACUGAAGUUGAGAUUUUUAUCUCAUACGGAUAGGUACUAUGCAUAAUGGCAUUUGCUUCUCCAAACCCUUUUUAACUUAUUUUUAUUUUGAUGAUUUCAUUCGACAAGCUUCUUACUUGAGUUCCUUGGGGUCACUACAUUACUGUAGGAAAUAUUUGGCCGUGACAGUUCGCAGAGUUUCGGUUGGAAGACCCGUCAGGAUAAAGAGCAGCGUAUAUGCUGCAUUUGGUGACAUGGCUGAUGAUUCAACCCCCAUUCAGGUGUCUUUCCAAGGAUUGACGUAAAGGACCCUUAUAAACGACUUGGAAUCGGUAGAGAGGCAUCUAAAGAAGAAAUUCAAGCUGCAAGGAACUUUCUGGUAAACAAAUAUGGGGGUCACAAGCCAAGUGUUGAUGCAAUAGAGUCAGCUCACGACAAAAUAAUAAUCUUAACUAC
This is an RNA transcript of Asparagus officinalis (garden asparagus), 1008 nucleotides long. It is a transcript of the gene named dynamin-related protein 1C-like, with no coding region annotated. The transcript has 5 exons. The record is from RefSeq and is a predicted model, not a curated record. NCBI's taxonomy places the organism in Eukaryota, Viridiplantae, Streptophyta, Magnoliopsida, Asparagales, Asparagaceae.